ACUGUUGUCAGUCCGCCGCGGAAGGUGACUGGUCUAUCCUCCUGUUUUGAUGGAUUAUAACAAAAUAUAAUGCUUGUACUUUGCUAAUUGAAUUUUUUUCUGCAGUGUUUUGUUAUCCAAUUUUGAACAUGUUUGGUUUUGGUGACUCUGACUUGGUACUGACUAUGAGUUUUUUAUGCAUAUUGUGGGAUGCGCUCAAUCGACCAAUUCUAUAUAU
This 217-nucleotide unclassified non-coding RNA is filed under the name Hevea brasiliensis (rubber tree). Lineage: Eukaryota; Viridiplantae; Streptophyta; Magnoliopsida; Malpighiales; Euphorbiaceae. The record is from RNAcentral.